RNAcentral lists this ribosomal RNA (253 nucleotides) under uncultured bacterium. RNAcentral's name for it is "partial 16S ribosomal RNA". It matches the Rfam family "Bacterial small subunit ribosomal RNA", at positions 524 to 776 of the family's 1533-position model. The record is from RNAcentral.
UACGUAGGGGGCAAGCGUUGUCCGGAAUUAUUGGGCGUAAAGAGCUCGUAGGCGGUCUGUCACGUCGGCUGUGAAAACCCGAGGCUCAACCUCGGGCCUGCAGUCGAUACGGGCAAACUAGAGUACUGCAGGGGAGACUGGAAUUCCUGGUGUAGCGGUGAAAUGCGCAGAUAUCAGGAGGAACACCGGUGGCGAAGGCGGGUCUCUGGGCAGUAACUGACGCUGAGGAGCGAAAGCGUGGGGGGCGAACAGG